ACUCUGGUUCAGGUGAACAGUCACUGUCAUGUGACUACUCUAGACUAGGCUGUGAUGUAGAAUGAGGCCUAGUAGGCCGAGAGAACACUGAAGCCUGAACUUCAGAUUACUGAAUUCAGCCUCUCACAGGAGAUCACCACAGGUGGAGCUAAUUAACUAUUACCUUUCAGGUAACUCAGGAAAACUCAGUGCUGACAAGCUGUUUAACUCAGUGAGCAAAAGACAAAGGAUUCGGGACAGAUGGCAGGGCUUCCCUCGAUAUUUCUGGAACUCGUUACAUGGAUCAUCACCGAAUGGAAACCAACAACUGAAGCUAGAUAACCCUAUGUAUCUUAUAAGGACGUUUGAUAUGUUUCUAUACCACUAACUGUAAUUACACCAAUAUUUCAACUCUAAAGGAUAUCACACGAAUUCACUCCAUCGGAACUCUUUUGAGUUAAAGAACAAAUUUUAUUAAACUGGAUUCUUCAAUAACUGCCGAUGUUUACCUUUAAAUGAAGUUCCGUAGUGAUUUGACCUUGUGGCUUGGAGUGAGGAGACAACAGUACAAAACAUAUAUGGAGAAGCGCAGAGCAACAAAAAUGUUAGGGGUCUAUUCAUGAAGCAGUGAAAAGUGUGGAGAAGUGAGCCAGU
Long non-coding RNA from Pseudophryne corroboree (corroboree frog), 633 nucleotides. RefSeq lists it as uncharacterized. The record is from RefSeq and is a predicted model, not a curated record. NCBI's taxonomy places the organism in Eukaryota, Metazoa, Chordata, Amphibia, Anura, Myobatrachidae. The transcript has 3 exons.